UACGUAGGGAGCAAGCGUUGUUCGGAUUUACUGGGCGUAAAGGGCGCGUAGGCGGCCUGUCAAGUCAACUGUGAAAUCUCCGGGCUUAACUCGGAACGGUCAGUUGAUACUGUCUGGCUAGAGUCCGGAAGGGGCGAGUGGAAUUCCUGGUGUAGCGGUGAAAUGCGUAGAUAUCUGGAGGAACACCGGUGGCGAAGGCGGCAUCCUGGACCAACACUGACACUGAGGAGCGAAAGCCAGGGGAGCAAACGGG
RNAcentral lists this ribosomal RNA (253 nucleotides) under uncultured bacterium. Its description in RNAcentral is "partial 16S ribosomal RNA". It matches the Rfam family "Bacterial small subunit ribosomal RNA", at positions 524 to 776 of the family's 1533-position model. The record is from RNAcentral.